Molecule: unclassified non-coding RNA, 334 nt
Filed under: soil metagenome
Description: partial contains 5.8S ribosomal RNA, internal transcribed spacer 2, and large subunit ribosomal RNA
Rfam family: 5.8S ribosomal RNA (bases 1-120)
Source: RNAcentral
GAUGAAGAACGUAGCGAAAUGCGAUAAGUAAUGUGAAUUGCAGAAUUCAGUGAAUCAUCGAAACUUUGAACGCACAUUGCGCCCGCCAGUAUUCUGGCGGGCAUGCCUGUUCGAGCGUCAUUUCAACCAUCAAGCCCUGCUUGCGUUGGGGUCCUGCGGCUGCCCGCAGGCCCUGAAAACCAGUGGCGGGCUCGCUAGUCACACCGAGCGCAGUAAUACAUCUCGCUUUGGGCGUGCGGCGGGUUCUUGCCGUUAAACACCCCCUUUUUACCAAGGUUGACCUCGGAUCAGGUAGGAAUACCCGCUGAACUUAAGCAUAUCAAUAAGCGGAGGA